AUUUAACAUAAUAUUGGUAGUACAGGGAGUCCUCGGGUUACAACGUCUCGACAUACAACGUUUCGAUUUUACAGUGCUCACUCCCAUAAAAAUUUUAAAAAAAAUUGAGAUGUGAGAAAGAAUAAAGUGUCAAUAGCUGGUGAAGACUAGGUUGGCUGCAACUGCUGAAAGAAUGCUGAUGCUUUGACAAUUCUACAGUUGACAUCCACAUCAACAUUGCCAACAUUAGGAGAGAGUGCUUCCAAAGCAAUUUAGAUGUGCCAUUGAUUAAACUGUUUGUCCAGGACUGACAACAGAGGGGUGAAGUAAAUAUAAACUGCUGGCCAGCAGAAGGCAGGAGGGAGAGUCCACAGGAAACACUGCCAAGACACUCGGACAGGGCACAGGGGCUCGCAGGCAGACAAGGGUAACUGGCUGGCACAACGUGAGGCACAAGGACGGCAACACUUCCAGGGAGGAAGAGACAGCUCCACAAAGAGACGCCGGAUGUGGGUUCAGCGAGAGAGGGAAUCUGCAUGAAAGGACCCAGUAAAGCUGACAGACGAGAAAUGAGGCGUGCCUAGGUCCCAGCAACACAAGGAGCCCAGAGUGGAAGAAAAACGGACAACGAAGAGACGCUGACAGGGAGUCAACAAUUUGACACAACUUCUGCCGGGGAAAAGAGUGCAUCCAUGAACAAUUAAGUGUUGGGGUAACACAGUGCCCAAACUGGACUCUGCACCACUAAAGGUUGUAUCCUACAAUUCUUGUUUUUACGGACUUUUAGAAUGUGGACUGUGUAUUUUCCUUUUAAAAAAAAGGAAAUUAAUUCCUGAUAUGUUUAGGUUCUGUUAUGUUCGUUUAUCUUUUUAAUGUACCUUAUAUUGUCUUGUACAAUAGAACUUACUGUUGCUUUUUUCUAAAUUACUGUUGUGUCUUUCAUUGUGUGUUUACUCACCGCCCAAUUUAAAGAAACCUGUGUGCUAUUACUGGUAAAUUUCAGGAGUUGCCAGUCUCUUAAUAAAACUGGGUGGCGUAGUCGGAUAUUUUAAUAGUGUCUAAGUUAGAUUACCUAUAAGUGUGACCAGACACCUGUGACAUUUCCAAUUAAUGCUAUGCUAUCAAGCUUUGAACCUUUCUCUUUAAAUGUUCUGUAACAGCUAACAUAGUUACUGACAAUGAUCUAACUGCUUAAAAUUGUUAAACAUGAAAAACAAUUUCUUGCAAUUUGGGUGCAUCUCCUUUUAACAUUAUCAGGGAGAAUCAAUACAAUUUAAAUGAACAUUAUACACAAAGAGCUGUAUGUUCUCUAGUGCAUGUCUUUCUGUUCAAAUAAAUAUUUCAAAAAAUGGAUGCAAGCAUAUCCUUAUUAAUAGCACUCAAACCAGUUAAAGACACUGGUUUAAAAAUUGUUUUUACAUGUACCUGAUGCAGAAGGAACAGUUCUGAAUAACUUAUUACUUAGUUAAAAUUAAUAGUAAUAGAAAUUCUGUAUCUGCAUAGCUAAAUAUGGAAUGAAUACCAUGUGCUGUUUUUUCCCCCUAUACUAAGUCAACAUUUACAAACUGGCACAAAUUUAGAAAUAAUCAGGGGAUUAGCAGAUACUCUAAAUUCUGCUGCAGUUUUUUAUGAAUGCUGUAGGCUGAGAUGUUGCUAUCAGGUGCAUCUUUACAAGCUAAGCAUAUUUUCCUUAUUCCAAAUAUAUACUGCACAAUCCUGUGGCAAUGAUACCUUGAAAAAUGUGCAUAUAAAAUAUACAUUUUCAGCUUUCAUACAACUUCACCUCAAAAAUGACCUACCAUAUAAACAUCUCUUCUAUUAAAAGUAACUCAGAUACUACACUAAAAAUGUUUGCAGUCUUUUCUAAUUUUCUUUUCACUAUCCAUUAAUGAGGCUUUAGUUUAGUAACAGAACUGACAGUGGAAAUAUCUCAAGGCUAUAUCAGUGCUUUCAUGGCAAUACAUCUCUAAACAAUCUGAAGUAGAGCAAGGAAAGGUAAAUUACAAUUAGAAUUUCAGACAAUAUAAUAAAAGUGAAGUCUUUACCCAUGGUGUAAGUCAUUGUCUACUUUCAUUCA
Molecule: long non-coding RNA, 2056 nt
Organism: Erpetoichthys calabaricus (reedfish)
Lineage: Eukaryota; Metazoa; Chordata; Cladistia; Polypteriformes; Polypteridae
Exons: 3
Source: RefSeq, a predicted model, not a curated record